GCAGUUUAUGCAUUUAUUAAUUUAUUUUAUUCUUUUUCAGGGAUAUUGUCAGUAUACCGUUGCUACCAGGAAAAAGUUGAAUUCAAGGGUCACGAUUUUGACCUUUUGCCGGGUCAGCAGUGCCGCACUUAGAAUUCUGAAGGACGGGGGGGCAUCCCAGCAUGGAAACGGCAUCAAAACAUUAUAGGUUUUUUGUGUUUUAGGUGCCAAAAUCGUCGUUUUCCAUUUCGCCGAGUCGGGAAGUAGGAUUUUGUCUGUGUGCCGUUGCUGCCAGGAAAAAGUCGAAUUCAAGGGUCGCGAGAUUGACCCUUUGCCGGGUCAGUAGCGGCGCGCCAAGGGUUCAGAAGGACGAGGGGGCACCCCAGCAUGGAGACGGCAUCCAAACAUUAUAGGUUUUUAAUGUUUUAGGUGCCUAAAACUUCGUUUUUCGUUGCGCCUAGGAUAUUGUCAGUAUUAUCGUUGCUACCAGAAAAAGUCGAAAUUCAAGGGUCCCGAUUUUGACCUUUUGCCGGGUCGGCAGCGCCGCCCCAAGGGUCAAUAAAAUCGAGGGGGCUCCCUGAAAUAGGGACGGCAUCAAAACAUUGUGAAUU
This is a long non-coding RNA of Drosophila santomea, 590 nucleotides long. RefSeq lists it as uncharacterized. The record is from RefSeq and is a predicted model, not a curated record. The transcript has 3 exons. Lineage: Eukaryota; Metazoa; Arthropoda; Insecta; Diptera; Drosophilidae.